RNAcentral lists this small nucleolar RNA (90 nucleotides) under Cladophialophora carrionii. RNAcentral describes it as "Small nucleolar RNA snR73". It matches the Rfam family "Small nucleolar RNA snR73". Lineage: Eukaryota; Fungi; Ascomycota; Eurotiomycetes; Chaetothyriales; Herpotrichiellaceae. The record is from Rfam by way of RNAcentral.
GUUGAGGAUGAUUUAUUCUACUUUUAUCACGACGGUCAACGUAGCAUAUGCUUUGACGACCACAGCCUAUGACAGGGCUUAGAUCUGAAU